AACUCUUGGUGGUGGAUUACUCGGCUUGUGUGUCGAUGAAGAACGCAGCCAGCUUCGAGAAGUAAUGUGAAUUGCAGGACACAUUGACCAUUGAUACUUCGAACGCACAUUGCAGCCCCAGGAGUUCCUUCCCGGGGCCAUGCCUGUUUGAGGGUUA
Petromyzon marinus (sea lamprey) is the source of this 157-nucleotide ribosomal RNA. It matches the Rfam family "5.8S ribosomal RNA". From Rfam's summary of the family: 5.8S ribosomal RNA (5.8S rRNA) is a component of the large subunit of the eukaryotic ribosome. It is transcribed by RNA polymerase I as part of the 45S precursor that also contains 18S and 28S rRNA. NCBI's taxonomy places the organism in Eukaryota, Metazoa, Chordata, Hyperoartia, Petromyzontiformes, Petromyzontidae. The record is from Ensembl.